RNAcentral lists this ribosomal RNA (498 nucleotides) under Triticum aestivum (bread wheat). RNAcentral's name for it is "partial small subunit ribosomal RNA". Lineage: Eukaryota; Viridiplantae; Streptophyta; Magnoliopsida; Poales; Poaceae. The record is from RNAcentral.
AUGGAGGGUGUUACAGUGUUGAUUGUUGGUGCUGGGCCAGCAGGCCUCGCAACGGCAGCAUGCCUUAGCCAAUUCUCAAUUCCUUAUGCCAUCGUCGAGCGUGAGGGCUGUAGCGCCUCACUCUGGCGCAACCGCGCGUAUGAUCGCCUCAAGCUGCAUCUCGCAAUGGAGUUCUGUGAGUUGCCACACAUGUCAUACCCUAUAGAUGCACCAACAUACAUACCAAUAACCUUGUUUGUGAAGUACUUGGAUGACUAUGUUGAGAGUUUCAACAUUCAACCAAGGUAUCUCACCGGCGUGGAGUCAUCCACAUAUGGCAAUGAUGAAAAAUGUUGGUCCAUUGUGGCAAAGGACAUGUCAAAAUGCACCACAGUCAAGUUCAUGGCAAAGUUUCUUGUUGUGGCAAGUGGUGAGAAUAGUGCAGAGAAUAUUCCAAUGUUCCCUGGACUGGAAAACUUUCCAGCCAUGGUGCCAACACCUCGAUUGUUAUAUGAAGCC